RNAcentral lists this transfer RNA (73 nucleotides) under Loxodonta africana (African savanna elephant). It matches the Rfam family "tRNA". Rfam says of the family: Transfer RNA (tRNA) molecules are approximately 80 nucleotides in length. The record is from Rfam by way of RNAcentral. Lineage: Eukaryota; Metazoa; Chordata; Mammalia; Proboscidea; Elephantidae.
UCCUGAAUGGUGCAAACGGCUAAGCACUUGGCUACUAACCAAAAGGUUGAUGGUUUAAACCCAUCUAGAGGUA